AAUAUUGGGCACUGGGCGCAAGACUGACCCAGCGACGCUGCGUGAGGGAAGAAGGACUUCGGAUUGUAAACAUCUUUUCUAGGGGAAGAAAAGCAACUUCUGCUGCUGUGACGGUACCCUAAGAAUAAGCAACGGCAAACUACGUGCCAGCAGACGCGGUAAUACGUAGGUGGGGAGCGUUAUCCGGAAUUACUGGUUGUAAAGGGUGAGUAGGCGGGUGUUCAAGUCAGGAGUGAAAACUAUGGGCACAACUCAUAGCUUGCUUUUGAAACUGCAUAUCUUGAGAGUCGGAGAGGUAAACGGAAUUCCGGGUGUAGCGGUGAAAUGCGUAGAUAACGGGGGGAACACCAGGGGCGAAGGCGGUUUACUGGACGACAACUGACGCUGGGACACGAAAGCGUGGGGAGCAAACA
RNAcentral lists this ribosomal RNA (413 nucleotides) under uncultured bacterium. RNAcentral's name for it is "partial 16S ribosomal RNA". It matches the Rfam family "Bacterial small subunit ribosomal RNA", at positions 360 to 774 of the family's 1533-position model. The record is from RNAcentral.